AUUGAACGCUGGCGGAAUGCUUUACACAUGCAAGUCGAGCGGCAGCGCGGGGGCAACCCUGGCGGCGAGCGGCGAACGGGUGAGUAACAUAUCGGAACGUACCCCGACGUGGGGGAGUAACACAGCGAAAGACUGUGCUAAUACCGCAUACGACCUGAGGGUGGAAAGCGGGGGAGUCGCAAGACCUCGCGCGAUGGGAGCGGCCGAUAUCGGAUUAGCUUGUUGGUGAGGUAAAGGCUCACCAAGGCGACGAUCCGUAGCUGGUCUGAGAGGACGACCAGCCACACUGGAACUGAGACACGGUCCAGACUCCUACGGGAGGCAGCAGUGGGGAAGUUUUGGUACGAAAUGGGGGCGAACCCUGAUCCAGCCAUUCCGCGUGAGUGAAGAAGGCC
This 395-nucleotide ribosomal RNA is filed under the name uncultured bacterium. Its description in RNAcentral is "bacterial SSU rRNA". It matches the Rfam family "Bacterial small subunit ribosomal RNA", at positions 29 to 416 of the family's 1533-position model. The record is from RNAcentral.